AUUGAACGCUGGCGGCAGGCCUAACACAUGCAAGUCGAGCGGAUGAAGGGAGCUUGCUCCUGGAUUCAGCGUCGGACUGGUGUGUAAUUCCUAGGUAUCUGCCUGGUAGUGGUGUAUUACGUCCUUAAACGGGCGCUUAUACCGCAUACGUCCUGAGGGUGAAAGUUGGGGAUCUUCGGACCUCACGCUAUCAUAUUAUCCUAGGUCGGAUUAGCUAGUUGGUGUGGUAAAGGCCUACCAAGGCGACGAUCCGUAACUGGUCUGAGAGGAUGAUCAGUAACACUGGAACUGAGACACGGAACAGAGUACUACGGGAGGCAGCAGUGGGGAAUAUUGGAGAAUGGGCGAAAGCAUGAUACAGGAAUGCCGCGUGUGUGAAGAAGGACUUCGGAUUGUAAAGCACUUUAAGUGGGGAGGAAGGGAAGUAAGUUAAUAACUUGAUGUUUUGACGUUAACAAAAGAAUAAGCACCGGCUAACUUCGUG
This 484-nucleotide ribosomal RNA is filed under the name uncultured bacterium. Its description in RNAcentral is "partial 16S ribosomal RNA". It matches the Rfam family "Bacterial small subunit ribosomal RNA", at positions 30 to 507 of the family's 1533-position model. The record is from RNAcentral.